Molecule: ribosomal RNA, 440 nt
Filed under: uncultured bacterium
Lineage: Bacteria
Description: bacterial SSU rRNA
Rfam family: Bacterial small subunit ribosomal RNA
Source: RNAcentral
AACGCGAAGAACCUUACCUACCCUUGACAUCCUGCGAAUCCUGAUGAGAGUUGGGAGUGCCGAAAGGAGCGCAGAGACAGGUGCUGCAUGGCUGUCGUCAGCUCGUGUUGUGAGAUGUUGGGUUAAGUCCCGUAACGAGCGCAACCCUUGUCCUUAGUUGCCAGCAUUUAGUUGGGGACUCUAAGGAGACUGCCGGUGAUGAACCGGAGGAAGGCGGGGACGACGUCAAGUCAUCAUGGCCUUUAUGGGUAGGGCUACACACGUGCUACAAUGGGGCGUACAGAGGGUCGCGAACCCGCGAGGGGGAGCCAAUCCCGAAAAGCGUCUCGUAGUCCGGAUUGGAGUCUGCAACUCGACUCCAUGAAGUUGGAAUCGCUAGUAAUCGCGAAUCAGCACUGUCGCGGUGAAUACGUUCCCGGGCCUUGUACACACCGACGCAC